CACGGGGGGGGCAAGCGUUGUCCGGAAUUAUUGGGCGUAAAGGGCGCGUAGGUGGGAUAGCAAGUCUGGGGUGCAAACUUAUGGCUUAACUGUAAGCUUGCCCUGGAUACUACUAUUCUUGAGUUCGGGAGAGGGAAGUGGAAUUCCUGGUGUAGCGGUGAAAUGCGUAGAUAUCAGGAAGAACACCGGUGGCGAAGGCGGCUUCCUGGCCCGAUACUGACACUGAGGCGCGAAAGUGCGGGGAGCAAACAGGAUUAGAUACCCUGGUAGUCCGCACAGUAAACGCUGGACACUAGGUGUUGGUCUCUAUGAGAUCAGCGCCGCAGCUAACGCAUUAAGUGUCCCGCCUGGGGAGUACGACCGCAAGGUUGAA
RNAcentral lists this ribosomal RNA (373 nucleotides) under uncultured bacterium. RNAcentral describes it as "bacterial SSU rRNA". It matches the Rfam family "Bacterial small subunit ribosomal RNA", at positions 524 to 898 of the family's 1533-position model. The record is from RNAcentral.